AUUUAGCCCCGAUAGGAGCGAUAUCCUUUUGUGUCCGCCGCGGCGGACACAAAAGAUAUAGCGGAUAGCGGGACUGAAG
Molecule: small RNA, 79 nt
Filed under: Flavobacterium aquidurense
Lineage: Bacteria; Pseudomonadati; Bacteroidota; Flavobacteriia; Flavobacteriales; Flavobacteriaceae
Description: Flavo-1 RNA
Rfam family: Flavo-1 RNA
Source: RNAcentral